Salvia miltiorrhiza (redroot sage) is the source of this 1098-nucleotide long non-coding RNA. RefSeq lists it as uncharacterized. NCBI's taxonomy places the organism in Eukaryota, Viridiplantae, Streptophyta, Magnoliopsida, Lamiales, Lamiaceae. The transcript has 2 exons. The record is from RefSeq and is a predicted model, not a curated record.
UGCCAUAUCUCAAUUAUAUUAAACCCAAAGAAAUCCAAGUGCAGAGCUCAGCCAUAUUGCGAAUGGAUCAAACUGCCACAAAACUCAGAUUUCAGCAACUCAAACCAGAGGCUUUGUGACCAGGGGGAUCAGCGCUGCUUUCCCAAGACAGGUUUAUAUGUGAUUAUGAUCUUCAGGCUUUGCCUAACCAGGUGGGCUUACUUUCCAAAUGUACAAAGUAUGAUUGAGUUAUUAAGCUCUAAAUGUUUCAAUGAAAUGCAAAUUGUUUAUUUAAUGUAAUGAAAACUGUUUAUCCAAUAAAAUGUUUAUGUGCACUCUGCUCUGUUUAAGGCUCGCGCAGUUAAUCAAUUGAGGUUCUCUUAUGACCUAAUACGUUGUUUGAGAAUUGUGUACACUUGUUAGUUGACUCGGUGGGUUGAUCUCCAUCGGGCUCUAACCAGAGGCGUUAUAAGGGUGCUCGGCUGGAUGUGUUCCGGAGCAUGAGAAAUAUCAGGCCCGCCUGGGUAGCGUCCCGAGGUCAAUUCAACUUGUCUGAGUUACGUCCUCAGGGCAAGUGUCAGCGGGAGACAGAGAUCCGUCGGUGGCUAGAGGUCCGGGAUCACAGCGAGUAACAGAAAGGGAGUGUGACAUGUGCGCACAAAUGAAAGAAAAUGUUUUAACAUGCUUAGAAGUUAUUUUAAUUUAAAACCUUCUAAGUCAUGUCAAGUAUGAUUGGAUAAACUGUCUUUAUUAAAAUAUAAAAUGUUUCAGAAAAUGCAUGCCCACUAAGUACAUUAGUACUUAGCCCAAAAAUACUUUCAAAUGUUUUCAGGUUGGCUGGCCGAUGCUGACGGGACGGAGCUGAGGCUAGCGAUAAAUUCCUAUGUUAGACUUCCGCUGUAGCAAUUACUCAUAUCAGUCUUUUGUUUUUCCAACUUAAGAUCUUCAUGUUAAAUUUCAAAUGAUAUACCUGACCGAGCUUAGACUCUUCACUACUAAAUUUAUGCCAAUGAAUGUCGGUUGUCAGAAGCAUGAAACAAAACUUGUGAUCCAAAGGGGCAUAGCCCGACUUUCUAUCCUAUUUCGGGUUUUUACAAGGUUGUUCCUUGUUUAUUUCUA